GACCCUGCCCUAGAAGCCAGCAGCCGCCCCGUCGGCAGGUGGCACGGACGCGCCGCGCUCCUCCUCCCCGCUUUUCCGCCUUCGGAGAGGACGCCGGGAAGCGCGUCACAGAAACGCGCCCGGCCCCGCCCCGCUCCCGGCCGGAAGUGCGCAGGGCGGCGGCUGCGCAGGGCCCGCGUGGAGCGGGGCGGGGCGGGGCGGGGGACACCGGAGGUGGAGGAAGGGGCCGCGUACCACGUGGUGUGUGGGGCCGAGGAAAGCACGGACUUCCAGCACCCGGGAAGGCAACAAGGCUCACACAGCAAUUCUGUCAUCUUGCUUGCUAACCCUGGGCCCCCAGGGGCAGAAAGGAGUUCUAGGCUCUGCUCAGCACCACUGGUAGGCUUUGCAGUCCUCAUCCAUGUACGAAGACAGAGGAGCAGAGGGACCACCAGACUGUCAUCUCAAAGUGUUCCCCAGCACAGCAAAGAUAGUGUGUGUUUGCAUUCACCCUGGAGUACCGUAGCAGCUAAAGGCAAUUUGACAGACACAACAUGUAUCUGGAAUAAAAGGUGUUUCACAGUG
Long non-coding RNA from Felis catus (domestic cat), 564 nucleotides. RefSeq lists it as uncharacterized. The record is from RefSeq and is a predicted model, not a curated record. The transcript is spliced from 2 exons. Lineage: Eukaryota; Metazoa; Chordata; Mammalia; Carnivora; Felidae.